UACAGAGGAGCCAAGCGUUGUCCGGAUUGACUGGGCGUAAAGCGCACGCAGGCGGUUGCGCGCGUGGGGGGUGAAAUCUGGCCGCUUAACGGCCAGGCGCCAUCCCAUACGGCGCGACUGGAGUGAUGCAGAGGUCGAUGGAAUUGCCGGUGUAGUGGUGAAAUGCGUAGAGAUCGGCAGGAACACCCAGGGGGAAACCAGUGGACUGGCACGGAGCUGACGCUCAGGUGCGAAAGCGUGGGGAGCGAACCGG
RNAcentral lists this ribosomal RNA (253 nucleotides) under uncultured bacterium. RNAcentral's name for it is "partial 16S ribosomal RNA". It matches the Rfam family "Bacterial small subunit ribosomal RNA", at positions 524 to 776 of the family's 1533-position model. The record is from RNAcentral.